This is a non-coding RNA of Callithrix jacchus (white-tufted-ear marmoset), 11405 nucleotides long. The record is from RefSeq and is a predicted model, not a curated record. Lineage: Eukaryota; Metazoa; Chordata; Mammalia; Primates; Cebidae.
CAUGCCCAGCUUAUUUUUGUAUUUUUAGUAGAGACAGGGUUUCACCAUGUUAGCCGGGCUAGUCUCGAACUCCUGAUCUUGUGGUCCACCCGCCUUGGCCUCCCAAAGUGCUGGGAUUACAGGCAUGAGCCACCAGGCCCAGCCUAUCUUGUGCCUUCUCUAGCCAGUGCUCCUACUAAAAAGGCAAGCUAAAAAAGCCUGUUUUUAUAAAUAGGAGGAAGUCUACAUGCUGAUUCAGAUGUGCCUAUUUGCUGUAAGCCUUCCAAAGUCAAUGUCUUAAUAUUUUUUAAUCUUAAUAACUAGAAUGUGAGAAUCAUAGGCCAUUUUGGAAGAGAGAGGUCAUAUUGUAAGAGUAAACAAUGACAACAAACAAUGGAAUAACCAUGUAGGAACAGAUAGACCUCUCCUUUGCCUCUUACACUAUCUGUCAUCAGUACUUCCCAUUACACCUCAAAAACAUCUUUUUGGCACAGCUUCUGUCCCCAUUUUUUUCCAGAGCUCUGGUUCUGUUUCAUGUUAUCUAUUGCUGGAAUGCUGGCAAUGGCCCCACUGGGGCUACCAUCCUCCAAUCCAAUAUGCAUAUUGUCAUCAGUCUGAUUAUCGCAUUCCUACGGCUACCUAGGUGCCUAAGACUAAGUCUUCAGCUAGGUGUUAAAAACCUGUCACUUUUAAGGAACCACACAACUCUCCAACAUCAAACGAGUCCCUAAAUCCUGUCCUGUAGCCAUAAAGCAAAUGUAAUUAUCACUUUCAAUAAAACACUUUACUUAUUCAUGCUGUUUCUUCUGACUGGUGAAUUUCUACUCACUCUUCUAGCCCAAUUCUAAUACUACCAUGUAAGGAUACCCUGAUUCUCUCCUGAUGGGAUUGACUAUUAUUUAGGAUGCUUUCAUCCUUUUUGUAAGUCUCUGUUAGUAACACUUGUCAGAUUGUUUCGUGUUAAUUUUUCACAUAGCUUCCUGAAUCAGUCUAUUGGAUACUUGAAAACAAACACUAAUUUUUUUUUUUUUUUUUUUGACACGGAGUCUCUCUUGCUGGGGCUGGAGUGCAGUGGCACAAUCUCGGCUCAGUGCAGCCUCUGCCUCUUGGGUUUCAGCAAUUCUCCUGCCUCAGCCCCCCAAGUAGCUAGGAUUACAGGUGCCAACCACCAUGCCCAGCUAAUCUUUGUAUUUUUAUUAUAGAUACGGUUUCACCAUGUUGGCCAGACUGGUCUCGAACUCCUCACCUCAGUAGAUCCACGACCUCGGCCUCCCAAACUGCUGGGAUUACAGGCAUGAGCCACUCCCAGCCACAGACACUAACCUUACUCGAUUUUAUGCCAUCAGUGCCAAACACAGGACAGUGAUCCAUAGUAAAUAUUGAAUAAUUUUUUAAUAAGCAAGUGAAUGUAUAAACACACCAUAUAGGGAGCUAAUGUUCUGUCUUUUUAUAGGGCAAGCUUUUUUACAAUUAUGUGUAUUUUGUACUAGAGCAGUUUGCCUGCUUGCCUGACUGUCUCUGUCCUUUCCUUUCCUCCUACCUUCCUUUCUCUCUCCCCAAAACAUUAAGUGAGCAUUCUGCGUUUUGGGUUCUAUGUGAGGUGUCAGAUGCAUUGAGAAUACUAAAACAUUGCCUCCCUCCUAGAAGUGUUCUCAAUUUUAAUGUGAAGGAAAGCAGUAAAAUAAUAAUGUAAUCUGGGUGCCAGUAGUUUAACAGGAACCUUCUCCAUGGUUGUAAUUGAACUGUUGAGUUGUCCUCUGCUCUCUAAAGGCCAACUUUUGAGAUGAGCUUUGAGAGCAAAUGGAGACCUCCUUGAUACAUUAGCAUGUGCAGAAGCCAUUGGUAGAACCAGUGUCUCUGUCGUUUUGGAGAUUUGUAUCUGAUGUGGAGAAUAAAAAAGUGCAUUGACCUGAGGGUUCAGAUGCCUGAGUUCCAGUUCUAGCUCUGCUACUAAUUAGCUAUGUCCUUGAUUCAGUAAUUCAGUCUAUCUUAUCUAUAGAUUGAGGGUGUUAGUCUAGACUCUAGAUCAGUGGUUCUCAACGAACAGUUAAAUAUUAGGAUUCAGAAAUAUGUGUACAUUAAAUUUAUAUUUAACAGAAAUACACAUUUAUAUUUAUGGCUAAUAAGCAUAACUGUCACAAAACAUAAUUUUGUGUGUGUGUGUGUAUACAUAUAUACAUGUAUAUAUAUAAAAUUAUGUUUCCUGGUCAUCCAAUAUAUGAAGUAUACACACACAUACACACACACACAGACACAUAUAUAUGUAUACAUAUACAAUUUCUACCAAAGAGUCACUGAAUUAGAAUCACCCAGGGGAGGCCAGGCCAUGCGUUUUUAGGAAAAAUCUUGCCAGCGAUUCUGAGAGACACUGGCCUGAGCUGUCUAUUCUCCAUGAUAUCAUGAUAUGUGAGGUCUCUGGGCCUCUAAUUCUAUGACUGAUGGGCAGGCCCCCACUGUCAUUGAGCUGUGGAGACGCUCAGCCCACUCCAGUCUUUCUCCUUUAAUAGUCUGUGAGAACCAGGGACAUUGUUUCAAAAAACAAUCAGAUCCGUAGCUGACAUCAUAGGUCUUCCUGAAAGAGAGGAAAGAGAUGCAGAGCAGAGAUAAGACCAAAAAUUCCCCAAAUGCACAUGGCUGCUGGUAAUCACAGCUAGCCUGGGGCUAUCUCCGGCUUCUUGAACUUAAGAGGGACCCAGUCAUUCUGGUGUCCUGACUCCCAUAUAUUUGUUCUCUGACUGAGGCAUAAAGAUCCGGGUGAGCUAAUGCAUCAACUGAUGAAAAAUGAACAAUUAAAACAAUGAAGUUGUCAGUUCUUUUACCAGAUUGCAAAUAAAUAACCUGCCUGUCAGACUGGCUGCUCUGCUGGACCAUUAGUUUAAUACAAAGACAUUCUGAGGAACGGGUGGAUGACAGCUGAUCUAUCACCCCCGUGGUUCCAGGCCUUUGAUAAAGACCUGAGCAACAAAUGCUGUCAUAAACCACAAAAGGUCAGUCCCAAUUUGUGAAAAGUGAAGUAUUAAAUGAAACUUGAAUACACCCCUCUGCCCAUCAUGAAAGCCAUAGGCUUUAAAAAAAAAAUUGGCAGAGUGUUGGAUAGUUCUUUUAACAAACCAAAACACUUCUCUUUCUGUGUAGGCUUAUUUAGCAUGUUAGGGACACUGUGCUGGUAUAUAUGGUGAUAGAGUUUGUAAUUGCCACAAUGGAAGGACUGUGAUCUUGGGCUGCACAAUGUAUCUUCUUGCCAGGCCAAACAGGGUCUGACUACAGGGUGGUAUUCCAUGCCGUGUCAAAUGCUAAAACAGUCCUAAUUUAACAAAAAGUCAAUCCAUUGUAUUCUCUUAUAUAUACCUUUUCUAUAUGACAUCUCAUAAAGUAUUUGCCAACUAGAAAUACUGUUCAUGGGCAAUAAUUAGAUAAAGUCAUAGAUAAUUCAAUAAGGAUGUAUUAUUUAAGUCUCUAGCUAAUAUCUCAUUUGUUUUUAAAUUUGAUAGAAAAAUAAUUACCUUUCAGAAGUUACCUUGAAGAAAAUAAUUAUUUCUCAGAAGCACAAAGUUCAAUUAUAAACUUUACCCUGCAGUUUGUAACUAGGUGAGGUUCAGUAUUUAUGAGAUAAACCUACUUCUUUUACUAGUUGCCUUUGUCUCAACUUGAAUCUUAGCAAAGCUGAUCCUCAAUUUUUUUAAUGAAAAUUAGUGAAAUGACUGAGAAGUUAACAAAUCAAAACAAUAAAUUUUCCCCUUCCAAAUUUUGGGGGGUAUUUACCUAUAUUUAGGUUAUAUCUUCAUAGUCAAAAUGAUUUAUGUUCUACCUAAGUGAAAAUAGUCACUAUCUAUUCUUUUUUUAGUAUAUUAACAAAUUAAUUCACAAUAAAAUGUAGCGUUAUAUGGAGAAAUACCUUAAAUCUAUACAGACGCUAUAAGUAGGGGUUUUGUGGUCAUUUAGUUUCCCAGAAUGAUUUUAGCUAGGAAGAAGUAUCAGCUACAUUACUUCAAACUGGUUUGAGCAGUUCUUCUGGGUGGCUAAUUAAUAAUCAAGAUGAACACGAAAUUAAUGUAAAGCUUUUCAGACUGAUUUUCCUACCCAUUAACUUAAACCACAACUUUGCCUGUGCUCUGCCUUUGUGAUCUCUUCAAGAUUAUAUAAUAUUGUAUCUCUCACUUCCUAAGAAGAAGCCCUGAGAGCGUGGGGGAAAGCUUGGAGCUCAUUCCUGAAAAUAACCUGGUUCUGCUCCUGGUUUUGUCACUUCUUGGCCAGGUCAUUUGUGCAAGUGAUUUGGUGUUUGCUUAUCAUAUCAUAUGCCCAAUAGCCACUGCUUAAAGAAGACUUCAUGCAAAAGGCACCUGCUGUUAUCUUGAUGGUGGGGUUGCCUUAAAGUCUUAAAAAAAAAAACAACAGGGCAGUAAUGUUAUAUACACCACUAAAGGAGGCAAGCAGUUUCUGCUCCAGAGACUUUUGCUGUGAUCUAAAGUUAGUCCUUCAUUUCUCCAAGUUUUACUUUGGGAAGUCUUUCUUUUUUGUUCACAAAUCUUUCUCUGAAAGUCUCAAGCUGCUUUCAAAAUGUUUAUUGGCUCCUGACCUUAUCCCAAGAAUCUUAAGCCUUUCUCAAUGUAACAUUGUAUUAAAACUUCUCUUUUGGAUCCAUUAACUAAAUAAAACUUUUAAAAUAAUUGGUCAUAAUUUGUCCAUGUAUUUUUAUGUCACAUAGUUUUAAGAAAUAUGAUAUUUGGAUUCAUUUCUAUAAAGAGUUGUACUACAGUAGAGUUCUUUACAUGAUAACAUGGUCUCUAACAGAUGAAUCAGAAGCUACUUAAAACAGUUGGGAACACAGAGAUCAUGGCGCCCCUCGAGAUGCCCAUGUCCUAAUUCCUGGAAUAUGAAUAUUUGACCUUACAUUUUAUCAAAAGGGACUUUGCAGAUGCCAUCAAGUCAAGCUUCAGAAACUGGGGAGAUUUUCCUAGAUUGUUGAGUAGGUCCAGUGUAAUCAUGAAAGUUUAUAAGGAGAUCAGAGAAGAGAGAAUCUAAGCUGCUGGCUUCAAAGAUGGAGGGAGAUGUCACAAGCUGAGGAGGGAGAUGUCACAACAGUGUAGGCGGCUUCCAGACACUGGAAAAGAGCGAGAAAAUCGAUUCUCCCCUCAAGCCUCCAGAAGGAACAGUUUUCUGCAAUACCUUGAUUUCUACUUCUGAUCUUCAGUAUUGUGAGAUAAUGCAUUUAUAUUGUUUAAAGCCACUGAAUUAUAAAUGCGUAUUAGUGGUAAUCGUUAUAGCAGCCAUAGGACACUGAUACAGAAACGUUUAUAAGAAAUCACCACUGAAGAACUUAUUCAUGUGACCAAACACCACCUGUUCCCCAAAAACCUAUUGAAAUAAAAAACAAAAUACAAGAAACAGUAUUGCCACUGCACACAGGAAUUCUUGCAGGUGGAUAUCUGAUAAUGUGCUAAAAUAUUAUUAUAAUUAUAAUUCAUUCUGCUUUUUGAUAACUAUCACUAUAAUUGGUGUGUAUUCUAUAGAGUUUUGCUUAAUUUGAGCCUGCUGAAACAAUUAUGUCAUUUGAUUAACAAAGUCUUUUCUCUAACGUUGAAAAACUUAAAAUAAUUUAAGAAGACCAAAAAGAAGUUUAUAACAAUGUAAGUUGAUCAUUGUCUAACAUGCAUAUACCUUUGCCAAUAUAUCCUUAAGAAUUAUAUCAGUAACUCAUAUAUACCCAGUAUUUUCUCUCUAGAACUGUUUUCUAUCUCUACUCUUUCUUUCUCCUCUUCCCCUUAUCUCUGUGUAUACUUUUAUACUACCUAGUGUUUUAGAUGUCAGUGAAAUAGUGAUCUCCUCAGAGACAAUAUCUGGAACUGAACACCUCCACCCAUGCCAGUCUAAACUGGGGUCCCUGCUACGAUUCUCCUCACAGCACCCCUUACCCUGUCACUUGUUUAAAUUUGGUAUUUAUUUGAAUAAUUAUUUAAUCAUGUUUCUUUCUCUUCACUAUUACAAGCUUAAAAGUACCAGAAUCAUGCCUGGUUUUGCUCACUGUUGUGAACCUGGCACAUAGUAGGUAUUCAGGGAAUAUUUCUUGGCUGAAUGAAAAGAUUCAGAAUUCUGCAUGGCUUGUAAGACAGACCAAAACUGUGCACUACAAUGCAGUCCAUCCAGAAGCAUAAGACAAUAAACUAACAAGAGUGAUUGUUUGUGUUACUUACCAUCUCUUGCAGAAAACAUGAAGCUAUCAGGCUUUGAUACCCUCUGAAGUCUCAAAGUCAUUAUUAUUUAGUUGGAUAAUAAUUGAUGGACAAUUUUCAUGAGGACUAUGUAAUAUGAGAAACACUAUAUUAUCAAAAAUUAUUUUGAGGCAACACGUGGUUGGAUGUGGCUGCAAGGAUUCCUUGGCAACAUCAACUAUAAUUACAGGACUAUGAAAGAAGAUUCAAGAAAAUAUCCAUAAAAGGUGUAGCUGGCUUAAAAGCAAAACAUUCAGCAGCCAAGAGCAACUGGGCUUUCAUGUUCUCGAGUUCAGAAUGGAGUAUCAAAAUUUUCUCUCAGCAGAGGUCAGAGGAAGCAGACAAAUUUACAGUAGAAUCUCAUCACUUGUGCAUAUUUCAGAGGACAGAUAACUCCAUGCCUUGAAUCAACAGCUUGAAGGUGACUGAAAAUAUAAAUAGUAAUUGGAAUGUUGAGUUAACCACAUUAAUUCUUUGGGUAUACACCCAGGAACGGGAUUGCUGGCUCAGACGGCUUGUCUACUGGACUGAAUUUAAACACUGUUUGCUAUGGCCAUGGGCAGGACUGUGUUCGACAGUGCUCCUGUGACUCAGGACAGUGUGACCCAGUGACGGGAGUGUGUCACUGUCCACCUGGCCAAACGGGAACCAGGUGUCAGGAAGUGCAAAUUCUGUAAGAAGAAAAAAUGAGAAAAGGAAUAUGGAAAAGAAAGGGCAGAUGAACCAAGAGCAGAAAAGUUUUGCUAUGGAGCACAUGAAGAUAUUAACUAGAAUCUCUUCCAAGAAUUCAAAGGAUGUAAUGAAAAAGUGCGCUAUAUUUCUCUAUAAAAUGUAUGGUUACUGCAUCUGAAGUAGAGAAAAAUGUUUUUCCUACCAGGUAUGAUGGCUCAUGCCUGUAAUCUCAGAACUUUGGGAGCCAAGGUAGUUGGAUCACCUGAAGUCAGGAGUUCAAGACCAGCCUGGCCAACAUGUGUUUGCCUGACGUGUUUGGAGAUGGUUGACAUCAACUUUGUGACUGAAGAAGAACACUUCUGCCACUUAAUGACUGGAAAAUGCCUCUGCCCCUGUAGGAGAACUGGAGCCAGAUGUGAUGCUGAAUGCAGGCCGGGCCUGUAUGGACCUAACUGCGCUCUCAACCGUCAAUGUGGUCACAAAGCUCACUACAGCCCUCUCAAUGGGAGCUGCUCUUGCCUUUUUAAGACAAUGGGCCCAACCUGUGAGGAAAGUAGUUCAGAUGAUCCUCAAUAACCAAACACUAACAACUUUUCAGUUGGUGAGUAGAAUUUUUCAGGAUUUCAUCCACAGUUUAUCAUCUUAACUUUGACGUAGAAAUGUACUUACUCAACCAUCUUCAGUUCCUCCUGACCUGGUGUGGGGUAAAUAACAGGAUGUGUCCACUUUGUCAUCUCCAAGCACAAGUCCCAUUCUCUAGCCUAGCCUUCCCAACAUCUUUUUGCUGGAGAAUAUUCCCAAUAAUAAGAGAAUGUUUUUUCAGGAUCCCAAUCAUAGUGAUGUUUGGACUAAUAAGUGAACCUUUUUUAUAUGCACAGGAGGUAUUUAAAUUUGGACGUAAGAACUGCUUUUCAGUUCAGGUUGGACUACACUGAAAUAUUCACACCUAUUCACUGAAGACUUCAGUGGCCAUUAAAUAGCUGGAUCCUCUUUGGAAAUGUCUAGAAUUUCAUCUAUUUAUUCUCAGUAUCCUUCCUCAUAACAAACUCUGCUCCGGAUUGCUAAUGUAUUGUGUUUCAAACAUGACUUUGGUGUGGGAGACUAUAAAGACUUUAGCAACAUAAUGACGUGCACUUUUAUAGUGAAACAUCAAAAUGUUUAGUGUGUUUUCUCCGUCACUGGCCAGCAGACAGGAAAAAGGUGGGUAGCAGUGACCGAGGCCAGGACUUAGCCUACUCUGGGGGACACAAAUUUCCUUUAAAUCAGGACCUACUAGCAAUCAGGCUUUUAAUUCACAUUGGUAAUCCUGAUUCACAUUGUUCAUCAUUUAGGACAACUAUCUUAGGCCAUUUAUGAGCCUAAGAUGAUCACUGUGAUAAGCCCAAGAAAGAUACAGCAAUAAAUACUACUUGAUGUUUGCUCUCAAGGAGUUUAUAAGCACUUAAAUUUUCAGACCACUGGUUACUUCACAUCAGCAAACAAAACUUUCUUGAUUGGAAAUGUUGUUUUUCCAUGUUACCCAUGCUUUAUUGGGAUAAAAAUAGAGAAUAUUAUAAUUAUAUGACUGACUACUUGAUUUAUGCAAGAUGUAUGAGUGGCUUUUACACUCAUACAUCUUGGAAAGUACAGUCUCUCAUCUUUACUUGAUGAUUAUCUUUCUAAAUCUCAGCACUUUUAACAGAGCAGAGAUAUAGCUACCUAUAAUGAGCAGCCAUGACAAAUUUAAUGUUAUUAAAUGAUACAAGGGACUUAAUGAGAUCACCUUACAAAAUAAUUUUGUGCUUUUUAUUGUUUUAGAGAUAGUCUCUCUCUGUUGCCCAGAUUUGGGUGCAGUGGCAUGAUCGUAACUCACUACAACCCCAGACUCUUGGGUGCAAGAAAUCCUCCCACCUCACCCUCCUCCCCUCCAUCCCACCCCCGAGUAGCUGGAACUACAGACAUCCAUACCAUGCCCAUCUCAUUUUAAAACAUUUGUAGAAAUGAAAGUCUCACUAUGUCACCUAGGCUGGCCUUGAAUUCCAGGCCUCAGCUGCUCCUUCUGCCUCAAGCUUCCAGGGAACUGAGAUUAGACACAUGAGCCACCAUGCCUGGCUUCUCCAAGAGAUUGAAUUUAGUUUAGUCUUUAAAGAGAUUAAAUAAAUUACCUUCUUUUCCCCAGUAUUUGGAAAUAAAUAUUUACAUUUCAGUGCAUUUUUACCAUUUUAAAUCAGUCAUUAAUAAUCUGUUAUUUCAAACCAGCUGAAAUAAACUAUGCUUUAUUCUGGGCAUUUGCCCAUUUUCUUUACCUGCUAUUUUUCAAGCUUCUCUCAACUAUCACCAUCUAACCCUCAGAGAGAAUAAGGUAAAUAAAAGCAACAUUCUCUACUGGGCUGCCAGUCCCCUCUGGAUUUUCUUUAUUUCAUGACUAAAUAAUUGUGACUGCAAACAGGGAAAAGAUAAAGAAAUUAGGCUUUUCUUGCUCACUAGAGAACGCAUUUCUAUUAAGGCAGAUAAGAAAAACCUAGAUUUGUUAGGAAGAAAAAUAAGGGAUUUAUUUUGGCUAUUCUUUUUUAUUUUAUAUUACCUAACUUUUUAUAAGUGAGAAACCAUAUGUAAAAAGUGAAACAAGGUUCUUGGCAAAUGGCAGAUGUUUAUACACUGUCUCCUUUCAUCCCCUUUCCACCCAACUCUGAAACAAAUUGUGGGCACAGGAAAGCGAAGUCAGAGCAUGAACCUGUAUUUGUGCCAUCUCAGGAUCCUUUAGACAAACCGCAUCUUCAUUCUUAUACCAGUCAGCAUGAACAAGUGCAAAUUACUGUAGCACCUUUUCUUUAUUGAUCUUUUUUUUUUUUUUUUUCGAGAAAAAUGCAGUGGCGUGAUCUCGGCUCACCGCAACCUUUGCCUCCUGGGUUCAAGCAGUUCCCUGCCUCAGCCUUCCGAGUAGCUGGGAUUACAGGCGCCCACCACCACACCUAGCUAAUUUUUGCAUUUUUAGUGGAGACAGGGUUUCACCAUCUUGGUCAGGGUGGUCUUGAGCUCCUGACCUCAUGAUCCACCAACCUCAACCUCCCAAAGUGCUGGGAUUACAGGUGUGAGCCACCACAAUGGCCCUAAAAGUUUUUAUAAGUUGUCUUUCAUAUUAAAAAAUAAAAAUAGGAAAAUGUUUACAAUCUAGAAGGUUUCCAUUGUACUUUUGGUUGUCUUGAAAAAUCUUGAUAAGCAGUGUAGAGUGAUCUCUCCCAAAAAUACAUCAGUUCUCCUGCUUCAGGAUGCUAGCAGUUGGCCUGAAAAUUAUUAUAUGCAGUAUUUCAUGCAUGAACCAACAUAUAAUAAAUGUUAAUCUUAAAUAAUUAUACAGAUGGAAAAUUAUAAAAUACAAAUUCCUUGAAAAUCAUAUAAUAGAAUUUAAAAUUUUAUGUUUUUAUAACUGCCACAUUAAAAAUGCUUCAAAUUAAGAAAACAGUGUACAAAGACCUCACAUUUUUUUAACAAAUAAAUAAAGGCACUACAUAAGCAUUUUUUACCUGAGGUUUUUACAUGUAAACCACUAUUCAGGUACAGUGAAGUAUGAUUUAGCUACCAAGAAAUAAUUUACACAAAGUUAAAGAAUCCAAUCAUCACAUAAAGUGAGGUAUGAUCUAAUAUGCGUGUCCUCUUUAAGCUAAAGUUUAAUGUAAAAUUGGGAUCCUUGUCGUUGGAUACUAAUAUUUUAUAUUACUCCUCUACUUUUUCCUCCCUGUUUAAUCUGUCCUUUAAAUGUAAAAAUGCUGAUCCCCAAAGGAAAUGUGUCCACUCAUAAUAUUUAACCAACCUAGAAAGGUGCAUGUGCUAUGAUGUUUCAGCCUUUUUCAUUUGAAAUACAAGAUCAGAGUGGAGAUUAUUAUGCUUUUCUGCAAUAAUAUAGCUCAAGUUUAAAGAAAAAUGAGCAGAUGUAUGGAAGUGUGCUGGCUAAUUUGAAGUCUCAAUUCAACAUGCCUGGGAUAUACCAUUUCAGUGUAACACCUAACUUUCCCCUGCUCUUUCUAACUUCUGCAUUCGUUUAUUGAGUUUUCCAGAUGAGACAGCUACUUGACACAGGUUAAAUUAUUUUUAGAGAACUUGGAAAUCAUUCCAAGAGUUAGUGGCAAGAAUGGCAUUUCCUUUGUUAGAAAUAGCGAAAAGGGUUUGGCCUCUCCCGGGCCUCUUUCACCUUGGUUUCUCCAGGACCUGGUAAUACAGAUGUAGCAAGAAUUUAAAAGCGCAUUUGAUGAAGUGAACAAAUAAUAGCAACUGUCUACACUCUAGGAGUCAUAUAUGCAAUUCAGGUGAAAUAACUUUUCUUGGGUCUGUAAUACAAAAAAAAGUCAAAGUAGCUGAGCUUUUAAAAUAGAUUUAAAAGUCAUUCCAAAGCUUUGUCUCAUUUAGCUAAUUAUGUGAAAACGAUGUUCUAUUUUUUUCUGCUUAUGUUUUACUUUUUAUAAAUUAAAAAACAAGUAAAAAUAAAGUGUAAACUAUGCAUUUAAAAGUCAUAGAUGCCUCCUUUAUGUUUUUCCAAAUAUUUACAGACUCUUUUAUCUCUAAAUUUUA